Molecule: small RNA, 29 nt
Filed under: Bombyx mori (domestic silkworm)
Lineage: Eukaryota; Metazoa; Arthropoda; Insecta; Lepidoptera; Bombycidae
Description: ovarian small RNA-21077
Source: RNAcentral
UACGCGCUGUUGAUUGCCAAUGGUGGGUC